UAGGCCUCCUAUUCCCCCUGCUUUGGGAGCAGGGGGUCGUGGGUUCGAAUCCCGUCGCCCCG
RNAcentral lists this transfer RNA (62 nucleotides) under Siphoviridae sp. ct13O11. Its description in RNAcentral is "tRNA-OTHER". The record is from RNAcentral. Lineage: Duplodnaviria; Heunggongvirae; Uroviricota; Caudoviricetes. RNAcentral also lists the same sequence under 1 other name.